RNAcentral lists this ribosomal RNA (973 nucleotides) under Norellisoma lituratum. RNAcentral describes it as "partial 28S ribosomal RNA". It matches the Rfam family "Eukaryotic large subunit ribosomal RNA", at positions 122 to 916 of the family's 3401-position model. The record is from RNAcentral. Lineage: Eukaryota; Metazoa; Arthropoda; Insecta; Diptera; Scathophagidae.
UGUCUUUAUGGCAAAUGUGAGAUGCAGUGUAUGGAAUGUCAAAUUUCUAGUAUGAGAAAUUAACGAUUUAAGUCCUUCUUAAAUGAGGCCAUUUACCCAAAGAGGGUGCCAGGCCCGUAUAACGUUAAUGAUUACUAGAUGGCAUUUCCAAAGAGUCGUGUUGCUUGAUAGUGCAGCACUAAGUGGGUGGUAAACUCCAUCUAAAACUAAAUAUAACCAUGAGACCGAUAGUAAACAAGUACCGUGAGGGAAAGUUGAAAAGAACUCUGAAUAGAGAGUUAAAUAGUACGUGAAACUGCUUAGAGGUUAAGCCCGAUGAACCUGAAUAUCCAUUAUGGAAAAUUCAUCAUUAUGAUUUUAAUAUUUAUAAUAUUAUAAUAAUGGUGUGCAUUUUUUCCAUAUAAGGACAUUGUAAUCUAUUAACAAACAGAUUUAUUAAAAGAUCAUUGGCUUUAGUUUAUUCAAAUUAUUUUGCUUGCAAUUUAACAUAGAAUAAAUGCUUUUGAUUUGAUAAAGUGUUGAUAGAUUUAUUAUAUAUAGUGCUUGAAUAUAUUUAUAUAUUCUAUAAUAGCAUAUUGAUCAAUGAUUUUUAUGUUCAUUAUAUGCACUUAUAUGAUUAACAAUGCGAAAGAUUCAGGAUACCUUCGGGACCCGUCUUGAAACACGGACCAAGGAGUCUAACAUAUUUGCAAGUUAUUGGGAAUUAAAAACCUAAUAGCGAAAUUAACAUAACUUAUAUAAUGGGAUUAGUUUUAAGGUCUAUUUUAUAGUCUUUUAAUUCAAUCCCGGGGCGUUCUAUACAGUUAUGUAUAAUAAUAGUAAUAUUAUUUAUACCUCUAACUAGAGCGUACCUUGAGCAUAUAUGCUGUGACCCGAAAGAUGGUGAACUAUACUUGAUCAGGUUGAAGUCAGGGGAAACCCUGAUGGAAGACCGAAACAGUUCUGACGUGCAAAUCGAUUGUCAGAAUUGAGU